GAGAGAGAGAGAGAGAGAGAGAGAGAGAACUCUGCUUUUCUGUCCUAAAUUAGAGAAGGACAGAGUGACCAGCUACCAUCUCCUGCUUCAGCUUCUAAGCUCUUCAUAUGCUCUGGAGUGUUCAAGCCUGAGGAGGAAGCAGCAGAGCCAACUGGGCUCCUCUGGGAGGCAGACACCAUCCUCUCCCUUCCUUCUGAUGGUGGUGGGCUCUUACCAGGACCACUUAAUGGAGCCUUCAGCAUCUCAUACCCCAGUGCUGGCCUCACAGAUGUUCACCACCAUCCCUCGUUUAUGCCCUGCUGCAAGUGGACCCAAGGAUCUGCGUGUGUCAUCCAGCCCCAACUGAGCUGAGCCUCAUCUCCACGCUACGCUCUGGUUUCUUUGCUCUCCGUGAAUCCAGUCAUAAUUUCAUUACUGUGUGCCAGCCACCUUACAGUAUUCAGCAUGCAGAACCUAUGGCAUGACAGGAACAAACACAGGAGAUGGUUUCAGACAGUCAAGGCCUUAGGACAGAGCAACUGACCGGUAAGAUGACAACAUGGAGGAGUCAUGAGAGAAGGUAUCCAUGGAGCAAAGACAUCAAAAGAUGGAGAACCAGAUGGACACCCGCAGGCACAGGGCUGUGUCACUCUGAUAAUCUCUCAUAAACCCCCCCAGUGCUUGAAGAAAUAAA
Long non-coding RNA from Meriones unguiculatus (Mongolian gerbil), 673 nucleotides. RefSeq lists it as uncharacterized. The record is from RefSeq and is a predicted model, not a curated record. Lineage: Eukaryota; Metazoa; Chordata; Mammalia; Rodentia; Muridae. The transcript is spliced from 3 exons.